AACGAACGCUGGCGGCAGGCCUAACACAUGCAAGUCGAACGCUCUAGCAAUAGAGAGUGGCAGACGGGUGAGUAACGCGUGGGAAACUUCCUAGGGGUACGGAAUAGCUCAGGGAAACUUGGGGUAAUACCGUAUGAUGCCGUAAGGCCAAAGAUUUAUCGCCCUUAGAUGUGCCCGCGUCGGAUUAGCUAGUUGGUGAGGUAAUGGCUCACCAAGGCGACGAUCCGUAGCUGGUUUGAGAGAAUGACCAGCCACACUGGGACUGAGACGCGGCCCAGACUCCUACAGGAGGCAGCAGUGGGGAAUCUUGGACAAUGGGCGCAAGCCUGAUCCAGCCAUGCCGCGUGAGUGACGAAGGCCUUAGGGUUGUAAAGCUCUUUUGCCGGGUACGAUAAUGACGGUUCCCGGAGAAUAAGUCCCGGCUAACUUCGUGCCAGCCGCCGCGGUAA
Molecule: ribosomal RNA, 449 nt
Filed under: uncultured bacterium
Lineage: Bacteria
Description: partial 16S ribosomal RNA
Rfam family: Bacterial small subunit ribosomal RNA
Source: RNAcentral